AUUGAACGCUGGCGGCAGGCCUAACACAUGCAAGUCGAGCGGAUGAAGGGAGCUUGCUCCUGGAUUCAGCGGCGGACGGGUGAGUAAUGCCUAGGAAUCUGCCUGGUAGUGGGGGAUAACGUCCGGAAACGGGCGCUAAUACCGCAUACGUCCUGAGGGAGAAAGUGGGGGAUCUUCGGACCUCACGCUAUCAGAUGAGCCUAGGUCGGAUUAGCUAGUUGGUGGGGUAAAGGCCUACCAAGGCGACGAUCCGUAACUGGUCUGAGAGGAUGAUCAGUCACAAUGGAGCUGCGACGCGGUCCAGACGCCUACGGGAGGCAGCAGUGGGGAAUAUUGUACAAUGGGCGGAAGCCGGAUCCAGCCAUGCCGCGUGUGUGAAGAAGGUCUUCGGAUUGUAAAGAACUUUAAGUGGGGAGGAAGGGCAGUAAGUUAAUACCUUGCUGUUUUGACGUUACCAACAGAAUAAGCGCCGGCUAACUUCGUG
Molecule: ribosomal RNA, 484 nt
Filed under: uncultured bacterium
Lineage: Bacteria
Description: partial 16S ribosomal RNA
Rfam family: Bacterial small subunit ribosomal RNA
Source: RNAcentral